Molecule: ribosomal RNA, 340 nt
Filed under: bacterium T-1-48-3G
Lineage: Bacteria
Description: bacterial SSU rRNA
Rfam family: Bacterial small subunit ribosomal RNA
Source: RNAcentral
CAACCUCGGAAUUGCCCUUGAUACUGGCGAUCUUGAGUAUGAGAGAGGUAUGUGGAACUCCGAGUGUAGAGGUGAAAUUCGUAGAUAUUCGGAAGAACACCAGUGGCGAAGGCGACAUACUGGCUCAUUACUGACGCUGAGGCGCGAAAGCGUGGGGAGCAAACAGGAUUAGAUACCCUGGUAGUCCACGCCGUAAACGAUGAUUGCUAGUUGUCGGGCUGCAUGCAGUUCGGUGACGCAGCUAACGCAUNAAGCAAUCCGCCUGGGGAGUACGGUCGCAAGAUNAUNACUCANANGAAUAGACAGNGGCCCGCACAAGCGGUGGAGCAUGUGGUAUAAU